This 9313-nucleotide long non-coding RNA is filed under the name Manihot esculenta (cassava). Its description in RNAcentral is "long non-coding RNA (MESC_LNC010625)". Lineage: Eukaryota; Viridiplantae; Streptophyta; Magnoliopsida; Malpighiales; Euphorbiaceae. The record is from RNAcentral.
ACAUUCAUUAGUCUAUAGUCUUGCAAUAUAAAUUCAAGUCCAUGCCUUCUCCAUCCUUGAGAGUAUGAAGCUUUUACGAUUAUAUGUUGUAUCAACUGCACGUUGGUUUUCUCUAGGAGAGAAUUAUUAUGGCCUGAGUUAGACCAGUUACUCAGAGAUGAAGAUGAUGGGAAUGGUGGGUCUACUCCAUAUACAGCUGCAAUACCUGAAUACCGAGUGGUGAUUCAUGAUACCUCUGUUACAUAUUGUGAGGAUAAAUCGACAUACUUGGCAAAUGGGAAUACUUCAUUUGACAUUCACCACCCAUGCAGGUAUUUAUCGUUUGCGUUUGUCAUUUAUUACACUAAUUGUUUACUGAUAUAGAAAAGGACAAGCAUCAUUUUAAUACACAAAUUAGUGAUAUGUUAUUUUUCUUUCUCUAUAGGGUUAAUGUUUCUGUCCAAAAGGAGCUCCACAAAUCUGAGUCAGACCGCUCUUGCAUACAUCUGGAGUUUGAUCUAUCAGGGACUGGUAUUAUGUGAGUUUUUUUUUUCCAAAAGAUGGUACACAAAAAUUAAUCAGUGAACAGCUAGCAUGUUCUAUUUUCCACUUCAUGUAUUUUUGUGAUCCUUUUCAAUACAAUUAUUAAGAAACUACUUCCAACUUGAUACAAGAAGAAACAAUUUUAAUAUUCUACAACCUGCGUUCUCUGGCUUGAUGUGGAAUUAUUGAUACAUGAUUUAUUCUCAGCCUUUUUGUUUAUCUAUUGGAAUGCAUAGUUGACCUUAUAUUGAUCUUAAUGAUAUUUGCUUAUAACCAGUAUGCUUUAGCUCAGUUGUAUGGGUUCAUCUUUAGGGAUGCGCUAUCUUAGGUUUGAGUCCCAAUUGAAUCAAAAUGAACCACAAAAGGUUGCUUAUACUUUUUCUUUUCUAUUUAUUUGUUUUUUUAGAUAUGAAACUGGGGACCAUGUGGGUGUUUAUGCUGAAAAUAGUGAUGAAACUGUUGAAGCAGCAGGGAAGUUGUUAGGUCAACCCUUAGGUUUGCUAUUUUCUGUCCACACUGACAAGGAAGAUGGCACAUCACUUGGAAGCUCAUUGCCUCCUGCUUUCCCAGGGCCUUGCACCCUUCGAUCUGCUUUGGCACGUUAUGCAGAUCUGUUGAAUCCUCCUCGAAAGGUGAUAUUUGGCACAUUGCUAGUUAGUCUGUCUGCUAUCUCCUCCUCUCGGUGUGUUGAUAUUGUAACACUAAUUUAUUUACUGUAUUGUGUUGUCACUUGUCAGGCUUCUUUGAUUGCUUUGGCUGCUCAUGCCAGUGAACCCAGUGAGGCAGAAAGACUAAAAUUCCUUUCGUCACCGCAGGGGAAGGUCUCUGAAGCAUUUAUGUCCUUUUCUUAUUAUUUGCUCUUGUGAGUCAUCUUUGUCUGUUCUUGGCUUCUUGCUUAUGCUUGUCAUUCUUUUUUGUUAUCCAGGAUGAGUACUCCCAAUGGGUUGUUGCAAGUCAGAGAAGCCUUCUUGAGGUAAUGGCUGAGUUCCCAUCUGCAAGACCUCCACUGGGUGUAUUUUUUGCAGCAGUGGCUCCUCGCCUACAGCCUCGCUACUAUUCAAUCUCAUCCUCCCCAAGGUUAUUUACUGCUUGUAAUUGAGAAUUUUAAAAUGCAUUUUUGUCUAAUAAAGCAAAAUCCUAAUUCCCCAUCAUACCCUCUGCAGAUUUGCUUCCAAUAGAGUACAUGUCACAUGUGCUUUAGUUUAUGGUCCAACACCAUCCGGUAGAACUCACAAAGGGGUGUGCUCAACCUGGAUGAAGGUAGUGUAUCCUUAAAUAUAUUUUAUGCUACUGGACUCUUCUUUCCACACUUUUUGAUGUUAUUGCUUCAUGUGCACUACCCUAGUAACAUUUUUGCUUUUGUACUAACACCUGCUUCUAACGUGAAAAAAAAAAAAAUCAGAAUGCAAUUCCUCUGGAGAAAAGUAGUGCCUGUAGCUGGGCACCGAUUUUCAUUAGGACAUCUAAUUUCAAGUUACCAUCUGAUCCUUCAAUUCCAAUCAUCAUGGUGGGACCUGGUACCGGAUUGGCACCCUUUAGAGGAUUUCUACAGGUUUGGAAUCACUUCCUGAUUGUGGGUUCUAUUAUUUCUUAUCUGAAGAAGAAACUAAUAAUUGUUUCUUUCAGGAAAGAAUGGCCCUGAAAGAGGAAGGUGCUCAGCUUGGUCCUGCACUGCUUUUCUUUGGAUGUAGAAAUCGUCGAAUGGUUAGCAUCUUUUUCAUGCAUGACUCUUCGUUGGAUAAUUACCCAUACAUUGCAAUCCUAUGCUCAAUGAUCCAGUGGUGUUUCUUUACAGGAUUUCAUAUACGAGGAUGAGCUUAAUAAUUUUGUGGAGCAAGGUGUGAUUUCUGAGCUGAUUGUUGCAUUCUCUAGGGAGGGGCCACAAAAGGAGUAUGUUCAGCAUAAGAUGCUAGAAAAAGUAAGUACUUUCGUACUGCAAAUCAAUGUCCUUGACAAUCUGAAGACAUAAUUUAUAUUGUGUUAUUUAAUGCAACAGGCAGCACAAAUAUGGAGCAUAAUUUCUCAGGGAGGAUAUCUUUAUGUGUGUGGCGAUGCCAAGGGUAUGGCUAGAGAUGUUCAUCGGACUUUGCAUACGAUUGUUCAGGAGCAGGUAUUUCUUAUAGCCCAGUGCCUUUUAUUUUGCUCUCGUUUCCUUUUGUGCAUGCUUGCUAGAGUUUCCUGUUUUAGUAGAGUUGUUAAGUGGUCUCCAUGGGAAUUUCUGUUGUAUGAAAUGCGGCCACUCCAGUACUUGAAAUUAUCUUUGUUUGCUCCCAAUAUCACAUGCCUGUAAUUUUUGUAUUUCAGGGGAAUUUGGAUUCGUCAAAGACGGAGUCUAUGGUUAAGAAACUCCAGAUGGAUGGACGAUAUUUGAGAGAUGUUUGGUGACAGCUAUACUUCUCACAUUCAAUCUUAUGGUUGUUUGCAGUGACAUUGAAGCAUAGUAUAGCAUUGGGUUUAUUCAUCUACUUUCUCAAGCGUCUUGACCACUCAUAUAUCUUCCAUCCUGGAGUUGUAGCAACGAUGGAAGCUGAAACUUUAUUUCCUUUAAAAACUGAAAUUAUGUAGUCUUGAUGCCUUUUCAUCCUCUUGAACUUUUCUUUUACAAAUACAUCUCCAAAAUGGAAAAAUUCAAACAGGCAGAGCGGGUAGGAAGUAGCAAAGUGGCAAUAGUCGCUCACAGGUGGCUUGUAUGUUGAUGUAGUCAAAUAUGGUAGUGCAGAAUAAAUUGAAGAUUAAAAUUGUUCUUCAGAAUGUGUUUGUGGUGCACUUGUACCUUUGUUUUAUGAUGGGUCAGAAAUUUUCAAGAAUGUAUAGAUUUUGAAGUGAAAUUAUUAGAUGGAUUCGAUUCAGUAUAAAUCAAGAUCAUAAAAAUAAUGGGUUGUAUGUAAUUUUUUGAUGGAGUGAUCUAUUUAUUUGUGUUUUGGAUGUGAUGGAUUAAAUUCUAUUCGUAAACCUAUAUUUUUUAUCCCCGCAUAUUUUCAUUUUUAAUAUAAAAAAUAAGUUAAUUUCUAUUAAGUAUUUAUUUUAUUUUUAUUGCUCUUGAUGAAUUAGACAUGAUAUCUUAAAAAAAAUUAAGUAAAUGUUUUAUUAAAAUUGGGAAAUAUUGCAACCUCAUUGAAAUGUUGAUUAAAAUAUAUAAAAGAUUAUGUACUCUUGUUACAUUAAAAUAUAAUAUAUUUAAAUAUUAAUAAUAUUAAAACAUAAAUAAAUAAAUGUUAUUUGAUUGUAACUUAUUCAUAAUAAUGGCAAUUUAUUAUAGUAUUAAGAAGUUACUAAAUACUGUGUAACUCAAUCACAAUUUAAAGUAAUUGAAUAACUAGUUAAUAAAAUUAAAUAAUUUAUUUUAUAAAAAAAUCAUCCUUAUAUUUGUGGGUGUGGGAGUCUGUGUAAUGAUUAUGACAUUUUAAAACUUCUAAUUUCGUUUAAUUAAAUUAUUAAUUGCUUCAAAAAUAAUUCACUAAAAUAUGAUUCAAUUGGGAAUAGCCUUUUUUUUUAAACAACAAAUAUUUUUCUUUAAUCUUAUAACUCAUAUAUAAUAUUUGAUAAAGUACAUUAAAAAUUUGUCAUAAAUGAGAAAAAAAAAUGCAAAAUUAGUUCAUUAAAAAAAUAUGAUUCAAUCAUUAGCAAAUAUAAAUUUUUUAUUUCUCUUUUGAAACAGCAAAUAUUCUUCUUUAAUCUUAUAAUUGAUAUAUAAUAUUUUAUAAAUACAUUAAAAAGUUGUAAAAAAAUAUGAAAAAUGUGCAAAUAUUAAAUAAAAAAUAUUAUUACUUUAGAUAAAACAAUAAUAUAUUUGACAAAGUACAUUAAAAGUUUGUCAUAAAGGAGAAAAAAUCAUUAAAAAAAAUAUAUUAAAUAAAGAUAAACGAGUCACAAAAAUGUACAUUAAAUAAAGAAUAAUAUUACUUUUGAUAGAAAGAAGUUAUUUGACAAAGUACAUUGAAAAUUUGUGGUAGAAGAUUAAAAAAUAUAAAAAAAUGUAUAUUGAACCAUUAUUAAUAUUACUUUUAGUAAAAAAUAAUAUAAUGAUUUUCAAUUAAAACCACGAAUAUAAAUUGUUAAAAAAUACUACAACCUAAAAGUCUUAAAAGAAUCUAAAAAAUGGCUUUUCUAAAAAUAAUUUUUUUUUUGAAAUUUAAUUAUUGAAAAUCCUAUUUUCUUGUAGAUAUAUGUGCGUAUUUAAAUUAUAAUAUUAAAUUUAAUAUUACUUUAUACGUAUAAACGUUCGUAAGUACUUCUCAUAAAUGUUAUAUAUUAAUUAUAGGAUCGAUGAAUAAAAUUCUUACUGAUGCCAGUUACUGAACCAAUUUAAGAAAAAAAAAACAAUUUAAUUAAAAUUAAGAAAAUUUUAUCCAUUUAAUAUAUAUAAAAACUAUAAAUAAAAAAAUAUUGAAAGUCAUAAAAAUAAUUUUAAAAAUUUAUUAAUAUCAAAAUAGUUUUAUCAAAUGAAAAUAUUAGGCAUCUGAUUAAUAUUUACUUUAAUUAUUAAAUAUUUUAUAUAAUUUCAAAAGUUUAAAGAUUAUAUUUCUUAAAAAUAGUAAAAAAAUAAAUUAUAUUUAUAAAAAUAAAAUUAGAAAUAUAUACAAUAUUAACUUGUAUAUAUAUAAAAUUUUAAAAUAAACUAUAUUAAAUAAUGUUUGAAUGUAAUUAAAGUAAAAUAAAAUAAUAUAUAUUAUUAAUUGCAUUAAAAUAAAAUAAAUUAUAUAUUAAAAAAUCUUAUCUUAUUUUAUGUUACCUCUACCCAAAUAGGGUAUAAGAAUUUUAUUUCUUAGCCGUAUUUCUCCCAAGUUGUAGACAGCGGAUAAGUGGAAAAGGGUCCUUUUUCUCACCUCCCUUUGGCGCAGGUAAAGAGAGAGAGGGAGAGAGAGCAUUAAGCCAUUAAUAAUAUUUCAGAAUAAAAAAGGCGUACAAUGUCAAAACUUUUAGCUCGCGGCUGCCAUAGGGACACGAACUCCGCCACACUUCCAGGGCAGACGCCACAGAACUUAGCAUAAGCGAGCUCUUUUCCUCCCUUUCUAUUUAUUUAUUUAUUUCAAUAAAAAAAAUAAAACAACUGGUCAAGAUCUCAGUGGUCCCGUCUCCAUAUAUCAAACCUACUUCUCCUUGUCUCCACCGUCUCUCUCUUCUCCCACCCAACGCUCUCCGCUUACCCCCCCCCAUCUUUUAGGGCUCAUUCUCCAAAGCCACAAAGAAAAAAAAAAACUGAACCCAAACCAUAACCAAAACUGAAGCCGAGUAUUUCAAGGCUUUGGAUUUUUUUUUUUCAGUAUUGAAUUGUUUUUGGUUUGGAUUUGGAUUAUAGAUCGAGAUGAGUUCCAGUUCGGAUUUGGUAAGCUUCGUUGAGUCGUUGCUCGGAGUCUCGCUCGGUGGUUCUGUGUCUGACUCCGUGCUACUUAUGAUAACGACGUCGUUUGCUGUUAUUGUGGGGUUGUUGGUGUUAUCGUGGAAGAGAUCGUCGGAUCGGAGCAAAGAGCUGAAACCUGUAGUGAUUCCUAAGUCGCUUGCAGUGAAGGACGAGGAGGAUGAGGCUGAGGCUCUUGCCGGUAAAACUAAGGUUACUAUCUUUUAUGGGACUCAGACUGGAACCGCUGAGGGCUUUGCUAAGGUAUGAUCAUUUUUUGUUAAUAUGACAAUGAUUCUGUUUCGUUUUGGGUUUGGCCUUUGACUGUGUAUUGGUGUUUGGGGAUUUGGCUGGGUUUGUUGAAAGACUGCGAGAAUUGAUCAGCGUGGCUGUGGAUGAAGGUUCGUUUGGAAGUCAAAGUUAAGUGAUAAUUUUGACUGAUGUGAAAUCCAAAUUUAGUAUUUGGUUAACAGUAGCUAAUGAGAAGUGGCUGGUAUGGUCUGGAUUUUUAACUUAGUCUUUGGGGAAAGAACUUUGCGUUGAAUUUUGAAACGAGUUAACGAGCUGAAUUGAAUCUAAAUUUUAUGUGCAUUCUUUGAUCAGCUUGGAACUUGGAAGUGGUUUUUGUCAAUUUCGAGAGAAGAGGCAAGAAGAGGCACUUUCCGAUUGUAUCUUUAGAUGGAUGGCUCCAAGCCAAAUCUUGGAACUUGGCCUCCGAGAGAGAAAUGCAAUAUUAGUAACUUCCCAACAUUAUGGGUUUUCAUAGACGAAAAGCUAAACAAAUGGAGGAUUUUAAAAUUGACAUUCACUUUAUUAGUUUUUUAUUCUUGGUUCUUGUUGUUCCUAUUGAUUCCAUGGUAUUGGCAUCCUUGUAUGCAUGGUGAUGGUAUCAAUUUUGGAUGAAGGUGUUAAUCAUUGCUAAUGGUGGGGUAAAUAAGGGCAAAUAUGUGUAGUUUACUUUUAUGAUUUCAAGAGACCCUGCUGCUAAGUUCCAUGAGAUUUGGAGGCCUUAUUGAAAGUGAUGUCAUAGUGUACAAACUGUAUGUUUGCAGGUUCCUGGGGAUAAAAAUACAACAGAUGAUUGACUGUUUAGACAGAUGUAAUUUUCUGUCUGCAAUGUGUUGUGUUUUUGAUGUUCAGUGUUAUAAUCAGAGAGCCACUGCACAAUCCUGUGUUUAGCAUUGUGUCUUUAUCUUAUCAUGAAUCUAUAUAGUGCACCUUUAUUUCAUAUUACUUAAGCUUUUAAUAAGGAUUUUCCCUAAUUACUAUUGCAGGCAUUAGCUGAGGAGAUCAAGGCAAGAUAUGAGAAAGCAGCUGUUAAAGUUGUUGACCUGGUAUGUUGGUGGGGUUGUUGAAUAACAUUGUGAAGUUGAAUGAGAAAAUUGCUUCCUUGGAUUGUAGUAGUAAUAUUAUUAUUAUUAACUUCUUAUGUAAAUUGGUUUUGAAUUAGGAUGAUUAUGCUGUGGAUGAUGAUCAAUAUGAAGAAAAAUUGAAGAAGGAGACACUGGCAUUUUUCAUGGUUGCAACGUAAGACAAAUCUUUUCAUUUACUGGCCUUUUGCAAACAUAAAUCAUAUGAUUGUUCUUUGUGGUUGUGUUCAACAUUGCAGUUAUGGAGAUGGAGAGCCAACUGAUAAUGCUGCAAGAUUUUAUAAGUGGUUCACUGAGGUUGGUGAUUUUGUUAAGAUGCUAACACUGAAUAACAUUCCAAGGCACAUUUUAUUGCCUUAUGUAUCUUGCGUUUUUUUCAUGUUUGAUAAUGGUGAUUUAAUUUCAGGAAAGCGAAAGGGGAGCUUGGCUUCAACAGCUCACUUAUGGUGUUUUUGGCUUGGGUAACCGUCAAUACGAACAUUUUAAUAAGGUAAAUGUAACAGGAUAUAUUGUUCUUUUCCUUCUCCUUCUCCUCCUGCUUAUCAUGUUUUAUAAUUUGAUGGGAUGUCUUUGCUAAACAGAUAGCGAAGGUGCUUGAUGAACAACUCAGUGAACAAGGUACAAAUAUUCAUAUUUCUUUUUCUGGUGUUUUGUUCAUUUGCUUGUUUGCUUUCCCUUGAUAGUUAGUAGAGUUAAUGUUAUUGAGCCAUAGUAAAUCUGGCAAUUGCCCUAAUAUUGCAACUUUUGUUGUUAAAUGGUUUCAUAUUUUCUGAUUUUUCUUUUAAUAUUUGAAUGUAAGGGUUAUGCCUUGGCCUUGAAUCCAUCUAUAUGCCAAGAAAACAAUGAUGUGAAAAGCUUUAAAAUGCUAGUCAUUUCAGUGUUCAAAGCCAGAGAAAUUUAGAGAAAUAUUGUCAUAUAUGCUGUGUUUAAAUGGUAUGUCUUGAAAACAAAGAGAGGAUUGAAUGAAGUUGUAAAUUUUCGAAAAAGGAAAAAAGAAAUCCCUAAUUGAAUUAACAAAGGUCUCGAUAUGGCUCGACAUAGUUAACAUAAAGGGCAUCAGCUUCCCAAAUAUAAUCUCCAUAAAGUAAUUAAAUGAGUAUAGCAUGCAAAAUCUGAAAAUGGAUAAAACUGACUAAAUUCUUUUCUUCCAAGAUGGUUAUAUGAACUCUCUUCUUACCAUGUUAGUAUAUUUGGUGUAUGAUUAUUAGGGUAGUUACAUAUAAAAUAUUUCCCCGGAACUUGUGUGUGAAAUUUUAUUUACUGUGGGGCACUUAAAAUAAGGGCAGGGGAAGGGAGGGUUUAAAUUUGGAAGAGCUUGUGAUCUUGUUGGUUUUGCUGUGUAGUAGAUAUUAUUGUCCAUUUUUGUCAUUUCGCUUCUGCGUAGACAUUGGAUCCAAAGUCAAUGUAAUCUUUUACUACUAUUCUUCUCUGCUUGUGAGGUUUUGCAACCACUUCCAUUUAUAGCUUAUAGUAUCAUACUUGUUAUUUAUUUCAUUCUUGUGCUCCUUUUGGAAGGUGGUUUAGCUGUAUGCCACAUUCAUAGACAUUCACAACUAGUUUUGCAUCUGGCAAUGGUUGGUGCUUGUUAUCAUGCUUUGUCAUGUCAAGUUUCUUAUUCUAUGGUUUGAAGUUAAAAUGAUUCAUUCAUUUUAAUAUGAUAGAUUCAUCUUUGUGGUUGAAAUAGGUGCAAAACGCCUCAUUCCUGUGGGACUUGGAGACGAUGAUCAAUGCAUUGAAGAUGAUUUUACUGCUUGGUAUACUAUGUAGUUAGAUUUGAACAUUCAUUAAUCUUUGCUGUUGCAAUAUAAAUUCAAGCCCAUGCCUUCUCCAUCUUUUAGAGUACGAAGCUUCUUACAAUUAUAUGUUGAAUCAACUGCUUGUUUGUUUUCUCUAGGAGAGAAUUAUUGUGGCCUGAGUUAGACCAGUUACUCAGAGAUGAAGAUGAUGUGAACGGUGGGUCUACUCCAUAUACAGCUGCUAUACCUGAAUACCGAGUGGUGAUUCAUGAUGCUUCUGUUACAUAUUAUGAGGAUAAAUCGUCAUACUUGGCAAAUGGGAAUGCUUCGUUUGAUAUUCACCAUCC